Non-coding RNA from Triticum aestivum (bread wheat), 125 nucleotides. The record is from Rfam. NCBI's taxonomy places the organism in Eukaryota, Viridiplantae, Streptophyta, Magnoliopsida, Poales, Poaceae.
UUCAAGCUACCUCAGUCCGGAAUUACUUAUCGGAGAAAUGGAUGUAUCUAGACAUAUUUUUGUUACAGAUACAUCCAUUUUUAUCAAUUUUUGCGACAAGUAAUUCCGGGCGGAGGGAGUAUUAG